This 160-nucleotide RNase P RNA is filed under the name Staphylococcus arlettae. Its description in RNAcentral is "partial RNase P RNA component class B". It matches the Rfam family "Bacterial RNase P class B", at positions 1 to 171 of the family's 365-position model. From Rfam's summary of the family: Ribonuclease P (RNase P) is a ubiquitous endoribonuclease, found in archaea, bacteria and eukarya as well as chloroplasts and mitochondria. Its best characterised activity is the generation of mature 5'-ends of tRNAs by cleaving the 5'-leader elements of precursor-tRNAs. Lineage: Bacteria; Bacillati; Bacillota; Bacilli; Caryophanales; Staphylococcaceae. The record is from RNAcentral.
UGUUUUGGGUAAUCGCUAUAGUGAUAUAGAGGAAAGUCCAUGCUCACACAAUCUGAGAUGAUUGUAGUGUUCGUGCUUGAUGAAACAAUAAGUCAAGGCAUUAAGUUGACGGCAACGAAAUAACCUAAGUUUAUAAAAUAUGGUUAAAUUAGUUUGAAAG